CCUACGGGGGGCUGCAGUGAGGAAUAUUGGUCAAUGGACGAGAGUCUGAACCAGCCAAGUAGCGUGAAGGAUGACUGCCCUAUGGGUUGUAAACUUCUUUUAUAUGGGAAUAAAAUGUUCCACGUGUGGGAUUUUGUAUGUACCAUAUGAAUAAGGAUCGGCUAACUCCGUGCCAGCAGCCGCGUUAAUACGGAGGAUCCGAGCGUUAUCCGGGUUUAUUGGGUUUAAAGGGAGCGUAGGUGGAUUGUUAAGUCAGUUGUGAAAGUUUGCGGCUCAACCGUCACAUUGCAGUUGAAACUGGCAGUCUUGAGUACAGUAGAGGUGAGCGGAAUUCGUGGUGUAGCGGUGAAAUGCUUAGAUAUCACGAAGAACUCCGAUUGCGAAGGCAGUUCACUGGACUGCAACUGACACUGAGGCUCGAAAGUGUGGGUAUCAAACAGGAGUAGAUACCCGGGUAGUC
Molecule: ribosomal RNA, 460 nt
Filed under: uncultured bacterium
Lineage: Bacteria
Description: partial 16S ribosomal RNA
Rfam family: Bacterial small subunit ribosomal RNA
Source: RNAcentral